This 253-nucleotide ribosomal RNA is filed under the name uncultured bacterium. RNAcentral describes it as "partial 16S ribosomal RNA". It matches the Rfam family "Bacterial small subunit ribosomal RNA", at positions 524 to 776 of the family's 1533-position model. The record is from RNAcentral.
UACGAAGGGGGCUAGCGUUGCUCGGAAUCACUGGGCGUAAAGCGCACGUAGGCGGACUCUUAAGUCAGAGGUGAAAUCCUGGAGCUCAACUCCAGAACUGCCUUUGAUACUGAGAAUCUUGAGUACGGGAGAGGUGAGUGGAACUGCGAGUGUAGAGGUGAAAUUCGUAGAUAUUCGCAAGAACACCAGUGGCGAAGGCGGCUCACUGGCCCGUAACUGACGCUGAGGCACGAAAGCGUGGGGAGCAAACAGG